CUUUUGGCCACGGCAACAAUUUCUCUUCUCCUUGGCCCCACCUUCUCUACUGGCAGAGAAGGUUCCUCUCCAGCUCUAGUGUGGGCUUCGCCUCCCAGGCGUCCCUGCUGCUGAGGUGCGCAGAUGCUCCAGGCAAGGUAGCCUCACAGAGGACUGCUCAGAGGUACAAAAGAAUCCCAGCACUUUUUUGCCUUAGAUGUCUGCGAACUACCACCAUCACGUCUGGAAAAAAGCGACUUCACACUAAUACAGCAGAGGAAAACCAUAGGUUGGCCAAAAACGGAACAGAAUUUACAAGGGAAAACGAAGGUUCCUGGAGUGAUAUGUGUAGGUUAGAUGAGAAUGGAGCUGGUGAAUGAGCAGAAGAGAAGGUUGGAAGGUUGGAAGAGUCCCAGCGGAAGGAGCCCCAGUAAGUAAAUCAAAUCAACACCACACCUCCUGUUCCUUUGUCCUUUCAUAUACAGCU
RNAcentral lists this long non-coding RNA (466 nucleotides) under Callithrix jacchus (white-tufted-ear marmoset). RNAcentral's name for it is "lncRNA (ENSCJAG00000075860.1)". Lineage: Eukaryota; Metazoa; Chordata; Mammalia; Primates; Cebidae. The record is from RNAcentral.